RNAcentral lists this ribosomal RNA (468 nucleotides) under uncultured bacterium. RNAcentral describes it as "partial 16S ribosomal RNA". It matches the Rfam family "Bacterial small subunit ribosomal RNA", at positions 28 to 507 of the family's 1533-position model. The record is from RNAcentral.
GACGAACGCUGGCGGCGUGCUUAACACAUGCAAGUCGAACGGAACGGCCCUGCUUUUGUGGGGUGCUCGAGUGGCGAACGGGUGAGUAACACGUGAGUAACCUGCCCUUGACUUUGGUAUAACUUCAGGAAACUGGGGCUAAUACCGGCUAGGAGCUCCUUCUGCAUGUUGGGGGUUGGAAAGUUUCGGCGGGUGGGGCUGGACUCGCGGCUUAUCAUCUUGUUGGUUGGGUCGUGGCUUACCAAGGCUUUGACGGGUAUCCGGCCUGAGAGGGUGACCGGCCACAUUGGGACUGAGAUACGGCCCAGACUCCUACGGGAGGCAGCAGUGGGGAAUAUUGCACAAUGGGCGGAAGCCUGAUGCAGCAACGCCGCGGGCGGGAUGACGGCCUUCGGGUUGGAAACCGCUUUCGCCUGGGACGAAGCGGGAGUGAAGGUAAUGGGUAAAGAAGCACCGGCUAACUACGUG